Molecule: RNA transcript, 4507 nt
Organism: Labeo rohita (rohu)
Lineage: Eukaryota; Metazoa; Chordata; Actinopteri; Cypriniformes; Cyprinidae
Gene name: perforin-1
Exons: 4
Source: RefSeq, a predicted model, not a curated record
UUUUUUUUUUCACCAGUAAUAAUUUGUCACAAAUGUUCUUCUCUUACUGCAGAUCAUGGGGCAGUUGUGGGUUUAUUUUGUUGUUUUCUGGGCGUUGCUUCUAACGACCAUUUCUGGAGAGGAUGACACAGGCACAUCAAAAGAGUGUGAGGAUGCUCCUUUUGUUCCAGGACACAAUCUUGCUGGAGAAGGAUUUGAUGUCGUGACCAUGGAGCGAAAAGGUUCUUAUCUGAUCGACAUGGAAAAAUGGGAUUUGGGAAACAGCACUUGUAAGUUUCGCAAAAACAAGUACAUGAAUGAAAUUAAACAGAAGCUACCAGCAGCAGUUGUAGACUGGAGGACCUUGCCAAAGUGUUCGAUGAAAGUCUCCAGUCAGAUCUUUGAAUCAAGUGAAGCACUGGUCAAUGAUUCAUCCUCGGCACUCUCGGCUAGCUGGAAAGUUGGUAUAGAUGUGAAGGCUGUUGGAGCUGCAGUUGGAAGCACUCAUUCCAGGGAAGCUAAAUUUGCAAUGACAAAAUCAAAAGAGGACAAAUACAGUUUCACCAAACAUGAAAUUGCAUGCAACUUUUACAGUUACCGUGUAGCUGCAAAGCCUCCUCUUCAUGCAGAGUUUCUUGAAGCUGUCAAAUCACUCCCUACACCCUACGAUCGAGACGCCUACCGCAACCUGAUCACCACAUACGGCACUCACUAUACCACAACUGUCAUUUUAGGAGGGCGAAUGAAAUCCAUAACAGCCAUCAAAACCUGUCAGGCAGCAGUGAGUGGACUUACAGACACUGCAGUGAAAGAUUGUUUGGAUGUUGAAGCCUCUGGUUCAUACAGUGUAGUAACUGUGAAGGUAGAAGCACAUUUUUGUCAAGAACUAAAGAAGAAGAUGGGCACAAAUGAAAAGUUCAGCUCCAUGUUUAGUGAGCGUCAGACAGAGAUAAUAGGAGGAAACAUAAAUGGAGAAGAUCUGCUUUUCUCUGGUUCAUCACACCCAGAUUCCCGUAAAAAAUGGCUUGAGUCUUUGAAGAGUCUUCCUGACAUUGUGCAUUAUUCUCUGAAACCCCUCCAUUUCUUACUGAGUACAAAACACCCUGCAAGGAAAGGACUGAAGAAAGCUGUUGAAGAAUACAUCAUUCAAAAUGCCCUCAUGAAGGUUUGCUCUGAGCCUUGCAAGAUUGGCAGGAAGUGCAACGCAAGAGACCGAUGUGGUUGUGUUUGUGAAACUUGUCAAAUGAUUAAGUCUAACUGCUGUCCAGCUGAAAAAGGACUUGCAACCCUGAAAGUCUACAAUCUCAGAGCCAAAGGUCUGCAUGCAGAUUUAUUUACACAAACAGAUGGUUUUGUAUUACUUAAAUAUGGCAAAACAUCCAGGCGCACUAAGACCAUUGAUAAUAAUGACAAUCCACGUAGGCCAGAAACAUUUGCGUUUGGUCCUGUUAAGAUCAAAAUGGCCAAUAAACUAACUUUUGAUGUAUAUGAUGCAGACUCUUUCUGGAUCACAAAAUUCCUUGGUAAAUGCUCUUUUGAUCUCAGAAGUGGAGUUGUGACUGAUGCUUGUGUUUUUACACAUGGUACCUUCUUUUUUACCUAUGAAGUGAAAUGUGAACCCAGUCUGCAGGGCCCACAGUGUAAUGAAGUCAAACCUUCUCCAGUGGCUGCCCCUCUGGCUGAUAUUUUCAGCUCAAGAAAUGGUGUUCUGGUUAAAGACAUGCCGAGGCUUGAAUUAGCAUUCAAUAACUCAGAUAAGUUCACUAUCAAGAGUACUUUUGGAAAGCUGAUUAUGCUGUGAUCUGCAUCUUAAAUCCCUACUUUACACAUUAAAAGUAGCCCUGUAGCCUUCACAUCUCUUUCAUCUACUAGAAAAAAAUGACCAGAACCUAUGAUCACUUCUUUUCCGACUGCUUCUCUGUUUUAGUUUCUGUGUUUUUUGCAUUAAUAAAACAUUCCUAAAGACAGAUGUGUGUUUUCAUUCUUUUUUAGACUUACAAAAUGCAUAAUCAACUAACAGUGCACUAACUACAGGCACCUUUACCAAAAAGUAGUAUACUUCAAGUUUAUUUUAUUAAGUAUACUUAAGUAAAGUUCAAGUAUACGUAACACACUUGAGAAAGCAAACAAGUGUGACUGGUAUUUGGGUUCUUUCGUUUACUCAGCCAGCAGUUUUACAAAUCUUGCCACAGCUCCGUGCAACACAACAAUGUGUGAACUACUAUGACUACUAACGUAACUCUUCUCUCUUCCGUUCAGGUCUCAGGCAAAGUCCUCAGCAAAGUCUCCAAACACUUUCUCUGCAGCUGUCUUAGUGCUCUUGUUUCUGCACGCAUAUGCUUGAACGAAUCAUGUAAAGUGGUCCAUCACAACUGAAAUGUAUUCAUAACCUCCUUUGCACUUCUCAAAAUGCAAAAAAUCAGUAGAGACCAACUUAAAUGGAUAAGUGGUGGUGAGGUCAGGUCACCCUGUUUGGAUGCUUACUUCUCAGGAAACUACAAACACAUGUGGCAUAGUGUUCCACUUCCCUUUGCAUGUGGGCCACAAAAAAAAAUCAAUCCCUGAUCAGGUUCAGCACUCGUUCUGCCCCUAAAUGGCCCAUGUCUUGACUUAACUCCUUGUAAACAAGCUCAUGAUAUUUUCUUGGCAGGAUCAACUGAUGACGGGUUGCUGUUUUACGGAACAAGAGACCAUGCUCAUCCAAGUAUAGUCUGGCUUUUUCCCUCAUCAGUCCCCGAGCCCCUUUAGCCCUGGCUCCUGUUUAUGGGCUGUGAUUUUGAUUUGAGACACAUCAAGACUUCUCUGAUUUCAGGGUUGUUUUCUUGGGCUGUCCUCAGAACUUCUUUUGGGAUCUCCGCAACUGAUGUGAGCAGCUCUUCCUCCUGUUCUCCUGACAGCACUGGCUUAAUGGUAAGUGGACACAACCACAGACCUCUUUCUUCAUUUUGUAUCAUCACUGACUGAGUUAUGCUAACCAUGACAUUAGGGUGCACUUCUUCUGAGCAGGUUUACAGAUACUGUUCCAUUGACAGCGGCAUGAGUGAGAGGCUGUCAGCAUCCCCAUUCGACUUUCCGGGACGGUAUUUGAUGGUCGGCAAGUCGGCAAGUUCGGCUACCCAUGUGUACAUGGUGGUGUUUAGCUUAGCUGUUGACAUCACACGGGAACAACAGGUUUCUGUGCAGUUUUGUUGAGGGUUAUUAUCUGUGUACACAGUAAAUGAUGGCACAUGGUAGACAUAAUCUCUAAACCUCUCACAUAUGACCCACUUCAUGGGCAAAAACUCCAACUUUUCAGAAUGAAGAUGGUAGUUUUCUCGGGAGGGGUUAGGGCUCUCCAUCCAUAUUCUAUUACUACUAAACUUGCCUCUUUGCCUUUAAUACAGCACUGUGCCGAGGCCUUCCUGUGACGCGUCACAGUGAAGUACAAAGGGUUCAUUUAGGUCUGGAUAUCCCAGCACGGGUGGAUUGGAUAAGCAGUCAAUCAACUCAGAGGACCUAUCGAUGCUCAUCUGUCCAUGUGACUGGACGUAAUGAUGCAAGCUGUCCCUGAUGACUUUUGCCCUUGCCCUUCCGCUUCAGUGGGGUACUCUCUUUCAGUGUUUUGACCGAAAACCAGGCAUCUGGAAUGGAUUCCUUAUUUAACUCCCGGUAGCUGCAGCAGAGGCGGAGGGUUCCAUCUUUCUUAGGCACACAGACUACCGGCAAAGAAUAUGUUGACUUCGAUCUAGUGAUCCACCCCUUAUUUAUCAGAUCCUCCAGGUAUUAUUUAACCUCUUUGUACAGAGGCUUCGGGACUGACGUGUAUGUGUGCUUCACGGGUGUGGUAUCAUGGAGGCAGAUUUUUAACUGGAGAGAGGGGAUACAUCCAACAUCGCUGUCAUUGCGGGCAAAGGCACCACUUUCCUCCCUCAAAAGCUGUUUUACUUUCUGUUGCUGUUCGGAUGUAAGGUUAUCAACACAGACAGGAGGGUCCCAUAAACAUUUCCCAUGAGUUGUUAACAUUACCUCAGCUUUUUCUGUAGAUUGAGUAACGUUACUGUCUUUGGGCUACUUAGUGUUUACUUGCCUUCAGUAAGCUUGAGAAUGUUUUACUUACAUUAGUUAAUUAGUUUUUGCUGUAUUAAAAUUAUAUUUUUUUUAUAUUUUUUUAAACAUGGUGGCAGUUUCCAGCUUCCAAGAAAAAUAAUUUUUAUAACAUCUUUGCAGCAAUAGUUUUAAUGGGUCCAAAACCACCUUGGGUGUGCAUGAUUUUGUAAUAAAUCAAUGGCACAUCAUCAGCUUUUCUUUAUAUAAUGUAAUUUAUUGUAAUUAAUGUAACUAUAAAUGCAUUCAAAAAUAAAACAGGUGUGAGUUUGCUGUGACUUAUGGAAAGUAUAUGUAGGGCUUUAUACACCAAGAAAAAAAAAAAGUCAUAUAAAACCCAAAACACACACAGCCACAAUCAGAAAUAAAAGAGGUGCAUUGUCUGCUCUUAAGGUCACAUUCACCAUUCACCUUCUCCUUUAACCCCACCCUUGAAUUUAUACAU